CCUACGGGAGGCAGCAGUGAGGAAUAUUGGUCAAUGGACGAGAGUCUGAACCAGCCAAGUAGCGUGAAGGAUGACUGCCCUAUGGGUUGUAAACUUCUUUUAUAUGGGAAUAAAACGUUCCACGUGUGGGAUUUUGUAUGUACCAUAUGAAUAAGGAUCGGCUAACUCCGUGCCAGCAGCCGCGGUAAUACGGAGGAUCCGAGCGUUAUCCGGAUUUAUUGGGUUUAAAGGGAGCGUAGGUGGAUUGUUAAGUCAGUUGUGAAAGUUUGCGGCUCAACCGUAAAAUUGCAGCUGAAACUGGCAGUCUUGAGUACAGUAGAGGUGGGCGGAAUUCGUGGUGUAGCGGUGAAAUGCUUAGAUAUCACGAAGAACUCCGAUUGCGAAGGCAGUUCACUGGACUGCAACUGACACUGAGGCUCGAAAGUGUGGGUAUCAAACAGGAUUAGAUACCCCUGUAGUC
This 460-nucleotide ribosomal RNA is filed under the name uncultured bacterium. RNAcentral's name for it is "partial 16S ribosomal RNA". It matches the Rfam family "Bacterial small subunit ribosomal RNA", at positions 338 to 795 of the family's 1533-position model. The record is from RNAcentral.